This 497-nucleotide ribosomal RNA is filed under the name uncultured bacterium. Its description in RNAcentral is "partial 16S ribosomal RNA". It matches the Rfam family "Bacterial small subunit ribosomal RNA", at positions 28 to 507 of the family's 1533-position model. The record is from RNAcentral.
GAUGAGCGCUGGCGGCGUGCCUAAUACAUGCAAGUCGAGCGAACAGACGAGGAGCUUGCUCCUCUGACGUUAGCGGCGGAUGGGUGAGUAACACGUGGAUAACCUACCUAUAAGACUGGGAUAACUUCGGGAAACCGGAGCUAAUACCGGAUAAUAUAUUGAACCGCAUGGUUCAAUAGUGAAAGACGGUUUUGCUGUCACUUAUAGAUGGAUCCGCGCCGCAUUAGCUAGUUGGUAAGGUAACGGCUUACCAAGGCAACGAUGCGUAGCCGACCUGAGAGGGUGAUCGGCCACACUGGAACUGAGACACGGUCCAGACUCCUACGGGAGGCAGCAGUAGGGAAUCUUCCGCAAUGGGCGAAAGCCUGACGGAGCAACGCCGCGUGAGUGAUGAAGGUCUUCGGAUCGUAAAACUCUGUUAUUAGGGAAGAACAAAUGUGUAAGUAACUAUGCACGUCUUGACGGUACCUAAUCAGAAAGCCACGGCUAACUACGUG